GUGACUGCGUACCUUUUGUAUAAUGGGUCAGCGACUUAUAUUCUGUAGCAAGGUUAACCGAAUAGGGGAGCCGAAGGGAAACCGAGUCUUAACUGGGCGUUAAGUUGCAGGGUAUAGACCCGAAACCCGGUGAUCUAGCCAUGGGCAGGUUGAAGGUUGGGUAACACUAACUGGAGGACCGAACCGACUAAUGUUGAAAAAUUAGCGGAUGACUUGUGGCUGGGGGUGAAAGGCCAAUCAAACCGGGAGAUAGCUGGUUCUCCCCGAAAGCUAUUUAGGUAGCGCCUCGUGAAUUCAUCUCCGGGGGUAGAGCACUGUUUCGGCAAGGGGGUCAUCCCGACUUACCAACCCGAUGCAAACUGCGAAUACCGGAGAAUGUUAUCACGGGAGACACACGGCGGGUGCUAACGUCCGUCGUGAAGAGGGAAACAACCCAGACCGCCAGCUAAGGUCCCAAAGUCAUGGUUAAGUGGGAAACGAUGUGGGAAGGCCCAGACAGCCAGGAUGUUGGCUUAGAAGCAGCCAUCAUUUAAAGAAAGCGUAAUAGCUCACUGGUCGAGUCGGCCUGCGCGGAAGAUGUAACGGGGCUAAACCAUGCACCGAAGCUGCGGCAGCGACACUAUGUGUUGUUGGGUAGGGGAGCGUUCUGUAAGCCUGUGAAGGUGGCCUGUGAGGGUUGCUGGAGGUAUCAGAAGUGCGAAUGCUGACAUAAGUAACGAUAAAGCGGGUGAAAAGCCCGCUCGCCGGAAGACCAAGGGUUCCUGUCCAACGUUAAUCGGGGCAGGGUGAGUCGACCCCUAAGGCGAGGCCGAAAGGCGUAGUCGAUGGGAAACAGGUUAAUAUUCCUGUACUUGGUGUUACUGCGAAGGGGGGACGGAGAAGGCUAUGUUGGCCGGGCGACGGUUGUCCCGGUUUAAGCGUGUAGGCUGGUUUUCCAGGCAAAUCCGGAAAACUAAGGCUGAGGCGUGAUGACGAGGCACUACGGUGCUGAAGCAACAAAUGCCCUGCUUCCAGGAAAAGCCUCUAAGCAUCAGGUAACAUCAAAUCGUACCCCAAACCGACACAGGUGGUCAGGUAGAGAAUACCAAGGCGCUUGAGAGAACUCGGGUGAAGGAACUAGGCAAAAUGGUGCCGUAACUUCGGGAGAAGGCACGCUGAUAUGUAGGUGAAGCCACUUGCUCGUGGAGCUGAAAUCAGUCGAAGAUACCAGCUGGCUGCAACUGUUUAUUAAAAACACAGCACUGUGCAAACACGAAAGUGGACGUAUACGGUGUGACGCCUGCCCGGUGCCGGAAGGUUAAUUGAUGGGGUUAGCGGUAACGCGAAGCUCUUGAUCGAAGCCCCGGUAAACGGCGGCCGUAACUAUAACGGUCCUAAGGUAGCGAAAUUCCUUGUCGGGUAAGUUCCGACCUGCACGAAUGGCGUAAUGAUGGCCAGGCUGUCUCCACCCGAGACUCAGUGAAAUUGAACUCGCUGUGAAGAUGCAGUGUACCCGCGGCAAGACGGAAAGACCCCGUGAACCUUUACUAUAGCUUGACACUGAACAUUGAGCCUUGAUGUGUAGGAUAGGUGGGAGGCUUUGAAGUGUGGACGCCAGUCUGCAUGGAGCCGACCUUGAAAUACCACCCUUUAAUGUUUGAUGUUCUAACGUUGGCCCCUGAUCGGGGUUGCGGACAGUGUCUGGUGGGUAGUUUGACUGGGGCGGUCUCCUCCUAAAGAGUAACGGAGGAGCACGAAGGUUGGCUAAUCCUGGUCGGACAUCAGGAGGUUAGUGCAAUGGCAUAAGCCAGCUUGACUGCGAGCGUGACGGCGCGAGCAGGUGCGAAAGCAGGUCAUAGUGAUCCGGUGGUUCUGAAUGGAAGGGCCAUCGCUCAACGGAUAAAAGGUACUCCGGGGAUAACAGGCUGAUACCGCCCAAGAGUUCAUAUCGACGGCGGUGUUUGGCACCUCGAUGUCGGCUCAUCACAUCCUGGGGCUGAAGUAGGUCCCAAGGGUAUGGCUGUUCGCCAUUUAAAGUGGUACGCGAGCUGGGUUUAGAACGUCGUGAGACAGUUCGGUCCCUAUCUGCCGUGGGCGCUGGAGAACUGAGGGGGGCUGCUCCUAGUACGAGAGGACCGGAGUGGACGCAUCACUGGUGUUCGGGUUGUCAUGCCAAUGGCACUGCCCGGUAGCUAAAUGCGGAAGAGAUAAGUGCUGAAAGCAUCUAAGCACGAAACUUGCCCCGAGAUGAGUUCUCCCUGACUCCUUGAGAGUCCUGAAGGAACGUUGAAGACGACGACGUUGAUAGGCCGGGUGUGUAAGCGCAGCGAUGCGUUGAGCUAACCGGUACUAAUGAACCGUGAGGCUUAACCUU
Molecule: ribosomal RNA, 2353 nt
Filed under: Escherichia coli UMEA 3323-1
Lineage: Bacteria; Pseudomonadati; Pseudomonadota; Gammaproteobacteria; Enterobacterales; Enterobacteriaceae
Description: bacterial LSU rRNA
Rfam family: Bacterial large subunit ribosomal RNA
Source: RNAcentral